RNAcentral lists this ribosomal RNA (253 nucleotides) under uncultured bacterium. RNAcentral describes it as "partial 16S ribosomal RNA". It matches the Rfam family "Bacterial small subunit ribosomal RNA", at positions 524 to 776 of the family's 1533-position model. The record is from RNAcentral.
UACGUAGGGGGCAAGCGUUACCCGGAUUUACUGGGUGUAAAGGGGGCGCAGACGGCAGCGCAAGCCAGGAGUGAAAGCCCGGGGCCCAACCCCGGGACUGCUCUUGGAACUGCGCGGCUGGAGUGCAGGAGGGGCAGGCGGAAUUCCUGGUGUAGCGGUGAAAUGCGUAGAUAUCAGGAGGAACACCGGUGGCGAAGGCGGCCUGCUGGACUGCGACUGACGUUGAGGCCCGAAAGCGUGGGGAGCAAACAGG